This 76-nucleotide transfer RNA is filed under the name Flexibacter sp. CG_4_10_14_3_um_filter_32_15. RNAcentral describes it as "tRNA-Trp". It matches the Rfam family "tRNA". Rfam says of the family: Transfer RNA (tRNA) molecules are approximately 80 nucleotides in length. Lineage: Bacteria; Pseudomonadati; Bacteroidota; Cytophagia; Cytophagales; Flexibacteraceae. The record is from RNAcentral.
ACGAGUGUAGCUCAGUUGGUAGAGCAGCGGUCUCCAAAACCGCAGGCCGCGGGUUCGAGCCCCUCCGCUCGUGCAA